RNAcentral lists this transfer RNA (74 nucleotides) under bacterium. Its description in RNAcentral is "tRNA-Met". It matches the Rfam family "tRNA". From Rfam's summary of the family: Transfer RNA (tRNA) molecules are approximately 80 nucleotides in length. Their secondary structure includes four short double-helical elements and three loops (D, anti-codon, and T loops). The record is from RNAcentral.
GGCGGCGUAGCUCAGUUGGUUAGAGCGUGGGACUCAUAAGCCCAAGGUCAGUGGUCCGAAUCCACUCGCCGCUA